This is a long non-coding RNA of Xiphophorus couchianus (Monterrey platyfish), 2875 nucleotides long. RefSeq lists it as uncharacterized. The transcript is spliced from 2 exons. NCBI's taxonomy places the organism in Eukaryota, Metazoa, Chordata, Actinopteri, Cyprinodontiformes, Poeciliidae. The record is from RefSeq and is a predicted model, not a curated record.
AUGACCUAAUUAUUCUGUUCAGGUGUGGUGCAGCAGAGGCACAUCUAAAAGUUGCAGGACUGCGGCCCUCGAGGACUGGAGUUUGAGACCCCUGAAUAGGCUCUGUAACUAGGACCGCCCUAAGGAAAUAAAAAGAAAGUCUCUGGGAGGAGCUGUUUUAGAGCGGUUUGAGAAUGCUUAGGUAGAUGAACCUGACAUUAAUUUGGUCCUUCGAAGCCGGAUCCCAAGAUACUGAAGGAAUUCAGCGGGUGAGACCGAAUCCAGAAGGACCGUGCGCAAGGCUAAACUCUUCAGAAUGAGUUUAGAUCCUUUUCCGGGACUGGUAUUUGGUUUACCAGCUGGAAUCUGACGCUUGACGGGACUCCGUGGAAGGGGAGAGACAACUGAGAGUAAAUUCUCUUUUAAAAGAAAAGCGUGAAUGAGUUGAUGGCGUUCGCGUUAAAAGAAAUCCUGUGUAAGAAACGCUGUGAAUCCUGGGCUCUAACAGCGGAAACUAAACGGCUUUAACUUUAUGCUGUUGUGGUGAUAAUUGGAUGGCGGAGUCCAGCGAGCAGCCGCUUAAAUCCGUCUUAAAAGUUUCAUUCCGUAAAAAAAAAGGGCGGCGGAGUCCUGCGUGAAGACGCUUCCGCUCCGUAACUGAAGUGUGAUUGGAGGUAUAAACACCUUUAGGUAUUUUAUCUCAUUUAAAGUAGCGGGUUUGGAAGGAGCAAACCAAUUGAAGAUGCAGAGGCAAGAAUCCUCCACUCGUAAGAGUCCAAGAAAGGAUUACCACAAUUGGUAUUUUUAAUUGUUACCCACUAUAAAAAAGAAACCAGUUUUUAGAACAGCCUAGGUGUUGACAAACUGGUCUAAAUUGUUUAAAAUGGGUAGAAAUAGCAGGAAGUGGAGAGAAGUGUUUCAAUAUGUGUUCGUUUAAUUUCUUUUAUAAAUGAAUUCAUUUAAAUUGUCCGGAAUGGUAGCAAAAUAACUGCAGUACUGGAGAAUACACAGCAGAUGGCGGCAUAGCACCCAUUGAACGAAUUACUGCUUUAUAUUUCAACAGUAAAUGUAAAUCAAAAGAUUAACAGCAGUGAAAAUAUUGGGAGUGUGUUGAAGGGCAGGUCCCUGAUAAAAUACAAAAUAUCUGAAUAAAUGGAUAGUAAAGUACAGGUUAAAAGGUUAAUUAAAUACUAAAAUAGAACUAGAACUAUAGGAUAAAAUAAAAAACUAAAGAAAGAGCCAAGAAAUCAAGGAAACAGAAGAUUGUGAUAACAGUGUGUUGGCAAAUAAAUAGAUGACUAAAUGAAACACUAACUAAAUAAAUAAAUACAGGAAUAAGUAGAUUAAUAUAAUAAAUAAAAAAAUAUCUGAAAACUGGAACAAAAGUCAUAAAGGAAAACAAGUAACAGACAGGAAUGUGAAACACAAGAAAGGGGAAUAUGAAAGUUUUUUUAAGAAGGAAAAGGAUGAGGAAACUUUAAACAGUUAAAGUUUCAUAGAAAGAAAAAUAAUGAUGAAAACUACUAGCUCAUGGUUUGCAGGAAUUAAUAAACUGAGUAGUAGGUUUGGUAAGUAGGCAUAUGUGGUGAUUUAGAAAUAAGGAGAAAGGCAAGGAGCAAGUGAGUCAAAGUAAGAGAAUGGAAAGAUGAUUUGAACAAAUAUCAAAUUAAAAUGAUCGUUGUGUUCAAAGUUGCUCUCAUAGCAGUUUGGAAAAAUGUAAUAACUGGAAAUAGAAAAUAGAUCUUAUAGAGAAACAGCUAAAAUGCUUUGCAUGGUCCAAAGGAUGUUUAUAAAAAUCUGAGUAAUAAUUAUGUAGAAUUAUAAGAAUUAAAAUAUUAGAUAAGAAUGUUAAUUAUUCUUUGCGCAGAUUAAAAAAAAAACAAGCUGCAGCUGAUUCUGGACAUCUUAACAUUCUUUUAAUAAUGAACAAAACUUUAUUAAGAUAGAGAAAUAUUAAAUCUACAGGACUUACUUUUAAUUGAUUCAGUGAAACUAAAACUAACUCUCUUAUUAAAUAGUAAUUGAUCAAACAGAGGAACACAUAGCCUUCAUGGAUUUCAAAUGCACCAUUAGCUCUGCUCCUAAAACCUUUAUUUUUAUUGCCAAUAUAAAACAAAAACAAAUGUUUGCAGUCCACUUUAAAGAAUCCAAAACAGAUUACAGUUUCUCUGGCUACAAGAUCAAUGUACCAAUGGGCUCUUUGCACCUGCUGCGCUGACGUCACAUCCUCAUUCAUCCGACACAUUAUGAGAGUCAAACUGUGUUUGCUGCAGCCAGGGCCGCAACUACAUAUUUUUGAGGUGGAUGCGAACAUCAUCAUUGUAAGCUAGCUUAAGCUAACCUGAAUAUUUACAACUCUCUUGUUGAUACACUGACAUUUCUUACCUUCUGUCUUUCAACCACUUUGAAAAGCUUUUCUUCGUCUCUCCAACAUCUUUAUCCUUCCCCCUCUUCCGUUUUCUGUUUUGGGCCCCGGAGUUUUUUCUGCGCCCCAUCUUUAGCUCCCUGUUGUUGAGGCAUUACUACAAAUUUAAAAGAAAACAAAACGCGCCUCAGCCGCUGCCCAAGCUGCCUGUAUGGGAGGGGGGCGCCUAAUCAGUGCUGUUCUUCUGUUAUUGAUCAUUUCAUACACAAACAGCUGUUAAGUACAUAAAAUGCUGACUAUAUGAAAAAAAUUCCCCACAUCGUUUUUGCGCCCCCUCUAGUGCAGCGCCCCUAUGCGUUGCAUACACUGCAUAGCCACCUUUUGCGCCACUGACUGUGGAAUAAACUUCACACUGGACUUCAAGCACGGUCGAUUCUGUGCCUCCACACUUUUCCUUUAGGUUCUGGGACCUUAAUUCCCAAAUUAAAGUCAAAAUGUAUUUUCAUCUAUAAAGGCAACUGGGCAACUUUA